Molecule: ribosomal RNA, 506 nt
Filed under: uncultured bacterium
Lineage: Bacteria
Description: partial 16S ribosomal RNA
Rfam family: Bacterial small subunit ribosomal RNA
Source: RNAcentral
GGUGAACGCUGGCGGUAGGCCUAACACAUGCAAGUCGAACGGCAACACAGGAGAGCUUGCUCUCUGGGUGGCGAGUGGCGGACGGGUGAGGAAUACAUCGGAAUCUACUCUGUCGUGGGGGAUAACGUAGGGAAACUUACGCUAAUACCGCAUACGACCUACGGGUGAAAGCAGGGGAUCUUCGGACCUUGCGCGAUUGAAUGAGCCGAUGUCGGAUUAGCUAGUUGGCGGGGCAAAGGCCCACCAAGGCGACGAUCCGUAGCUGGUCUGAGAGGAUGAUCAGCCACACUGGAACUGAGACACGGUCCAGACUCCUACGGGAGGCAGCAGUGGGGAAUAUUGGACAAUGGGCGCAAGCCUGAUCCAGCCAUACCGCGUGGGUGAAGAAGGCCUUCGGGUUGUAAAGCCCUUUUGUUGGGAAAGAAAUCCAGCUGGCUAAUACCCGGUUGGGAUGACGGUACCCAAAGAAUAAGCACCGGCUAACUUCGUGCCAGCCGCCGCCGUAA